This 494-nucleotide ribosomal RNA is filed under the name uncultured bacterium. RNAcentral describes it as "partial 16S ribosomal RNA". It matches the Rfam family "Bacterial small subunit ribosomal RNA", at positions 28 to 507 of the family's 1533-position model. The record is from RNAcentral.
GACGAACGCUGGCGGCGCGCUUAACACAUGCAAGUCGAACGGAAAGGCCUGCUUUCCCUUGUGGAUUGCGGGUACUCGAGUGGCGAACGGGUGAGUAACACGUGAGUGAUCUGCCCCCAACUUGGGUAUAAGCCUGGGAAACUGGGUCUAAUUCCCGAUAGGACUGCAGGGUGGUGCCUGUGGUGGAAAACGAUUUUCUAGUGGUUGGGGAUGAGCUCGCGGCCUAUCAGCUUGUUGGUGGGGUAAUGGCCUACCAAGGCGGCGACGGGUAGCCGGCCUGAGAGGGUGGACGGCCACAUUGGGACUGAGAUACGGCCCAGACUCCUACGGGAGGCAGCAGUGGGGAGUAUUGCACAAUGGGCGGAAGCCUGAUGCAGCGACGCCGCGUGGGGGAUGACGGCCUUCGGGUUGUAAACUCCUUUCGACCGCGAGGAAGCCACCUGGUUGGAAGGGUGGUGACGGUAGUGGUAGAAGAAGCACCGGCUAACUACGUG